AUCCCGGGGAUGUUAGACACAUUAUAUCAUUACAGUGUAAACAAAGAAAGGUUCGUUCUAUAACUUGACACGACGCGACUGGUUUUCCCCCAAUAAUGCUAUUUGAUAUUUGAAAAAAAUCCAGUAGCAAGCACACCUAUAUGCCCUAUUUCCAGUUUCAGUCGUCUGCUAUACUAAGAAGAUGAGUCUAGAAUGGGCAAAGAAUUUGUGUGGCAUGUCCUUGACGGACCAACAGAUGGAAAAAGUUCCACAUACAACCACUGAGUUGGGCGUACAUGUUACAAUAAAAACUGUCCAAGCCUUUGGUUUACUUGGAACAGUUUUGGUAGGCCCUGUUGCUGCUAUUGUGAAAAAAGAAACCAGAAACAUGCGAGGAAUCAAGCAGAAAAUGACCAGAGCAGGUCGCGGGGGUAUAAUUCUUGGACUUGUCACGGGACCUCUCAUGACAUUUUUGAAAGUUAAAGAUGAAGACGAAUAUAAGAUUUGGGAUAGGUGUUACCGUUUGCGACAUAACCGAGGACAGGUCAAAGUUGAUCAGGGUUCUAUUGUUGGAGCCGUUGGUGGCGCUGGGAUAUGUGCACUUACUGGAAGUGGUGCUCUUUUUGGAGGACUUGUUGGGAUGAGUUCUGGCAUAAUAGCUAUGGCCAUUUAUAACAACGCCAUCGUUAAGAAAAACUAGCAUUUGUAAUAUAGAUAUCUUAUGUUUGAUGAAUGUUAUCAAAAUGUAGUGUCGUAGUUUUACUAAGGGAUUAUACCACGUGUUCAUUGUUAUUCGUGAAUAGACUCUGUGCUAUUGAUAUUGUCUUUUAGUACUAGUAUUAUUACAUCAACAAUAUGAAAAGGUAAAUCUUAUUACACCAUUUCCAAUAUUAUUCCUUUUAUAACAAGGCAAAUUUUAUUACACAACUGAUUUAUAAUGGGACUACAUUAUAGCUGUGCAAAAUUUGUGUGGAAAUUCGAAGUGAACAUUUGUCGAUGUCAUGCAGAAUCUUCCGAUCUUUACAAUAGAAAGACUUAGAAUUCAAUUGUCCGUGAAUCUUUAUCCAGAAUUUAUACAAUCCAUGUUAUUCAAUGAUCUUCAAUGCAUAGUAUUUGUAACACUAUUUGGGUUGACUAAAUAUAAAUGUGUGUUGGUCCCGAUUUUUUUUGGAGCAAAUCUCGUAGCGUUAUGACUUGAAACAUUGAUGCUAUAAGAUGUACGGAAACGACAGUCAUUUAUAAAUUUAUAAAUGGCGAUAUGUUUUUGUACACAGUAUAUAUAAAUUUUGUACAAAACGGAGUCGAAAACAAUGGCAUCACUAGUGAGAUAAAAACCGGUGAAUGUAUAUUGAUAUCAUUUUAUACUAACCUAAUUAAUACCCUAUAUAGACCCUGUAAUGAACCCCGAGUCUAGUCCGAGAUUGCUCUGGCGUCUGACGGCCUUUUGUCAGAUGUUUGUGGACUUCAGGUAGCAACACACAGUUAGGAAUGUAGUUUCGCAUUUUGGCCCUGGUGGAUUUUUCAAAUAUGAAAGUUAUUGUGCAAUAAAAUUCAUUUUUAGACAGCUGAUGACUAAUUUGGCCUUCAAAGUGGGUUAAUAAGAACUUCAAGAUUAUAUUUUUACAUGUUUUAUGGGCUAUUUUCUGAUUGACUGUCCGUAUUUUCAUAGCCAGACCGGCCAUAGGUCCAGAAAUUAUUGUAAUGUUUAAACACUUUUUUCACACGAACUUUUUGACGCAAUUUUACAAAAAAAAAAGAGACGAAAGACAUGAUUUUUAUUUAAUCUCUUGAUAGAUUUAUGUAAACAGUUUCAGAAUAGGUAUCACUCCAAGGGAUUGAAACUCUACUUUUGGCCAAAUUUUGGGGAAAUAUGUGACAUCUUUACCCCCUUUUUGCAAUAUUUUAUAGCAAUUAAAUGCAGAUUGUUGCCAUGGAUACACCAAAAAGAAACUUUAUUUAAUCAUUUUAACUACCAAAAAAUCAACUAACCACUAUUUUUAAUACUGGAAAUCAAAUCUUUGGAAGAUACUGAUUACAUGCAUAUGCACAUAUAUGACUCAAACAGAAGGCUUAAUUUGUAAGAAAGCAAGGAAAAGGGGAUGGUAAAAUUUAUUCGAGGGUAUUUUUUUUCCUCUUGAACUGUAUAUUGCCACCCAGGCUAACCCCGUAAGACGUCACAUCAAUCUCGAACUGUCCCGAGAAAGACCCGUUUUUAUAAUCAAUUGAGACGAGAGACGUAUAAUAUAUGCUGUUGAGACAAAUAAGUUUUUUUUUAUUUUUGAGAAAAGAAGAACUAUAUUACCACAGAAUAUGAUGUGCUACAUAUUACAUAAAGACACACACUUAGGCUACACUUUGAAGAUUAAGGCAAAUCUUGACAGAAAACAAUGAAAAUGGUCUGACUCCUUGAAUUUUUAUUCCAGUUCCAAUAAUUGAAUAGUUUGAUUUUUUAAGCGAUUUUUCAUGUCGGAUAACAAACAAAUUGUGGUAAAAAGACAAUUUGAACUGAUAAAACUUUUUCUUUUUCUGUCAAAUUAAAGAUAAUUUCACGAAAAAGGAUCACAGUCCAACCUCAGCCUGCGUUUCUAUAUAGUAAAUAUUUUUAUCACUCCAUAUUUUUUUAUACUAACAUCAGUCAAUUUAUUUUUAAUAAAAGCAUAAUACUGUUAUUUUAUCAAUCCAUAUUUUGUUUUAUAUUAAGAUCUGAUUCAGUCAAUUUAUUUUUAAUAAAAGUAUAAUACUGUUAUUUUAUCAAUCCAUAAUUUUUUUUAUAUCAAGACCGGUCAUUAAAUUUUUCAGCAAAAGCAUAAUACUGAUAAACACUUCUAUGUUGUAUGUAUAAAUGUAAAUAAUAAAUCAGGGUAACAUGUAUACAUCUACACCUAUAAAUGUGUGUGUACUAAUAUGAUAAUCAUAUUUAAAAAAAUAAAUACAUAAACAUAC
Molecule: long non-coding RNA, 2922 nt
Organism: Mytilus californianus (California mussel)
Lineage: Eukaryota; Metazoa; Mollusca; Bivalvia; Mytilida; Mytilidae
Exons: 2
Source: RefSeq, a predicted model, not a curated record